RNAcentral lists this ribosomal RNA (404 nucleotides) under uncultured Clostridium sp. RNAcentral's name for it is "bacterial SSU rRNA". It matches the Rfam family "Bacterial small subunit ribosomal RNA", at positions 355 to 776 of the family's 1533-position model. RNAcentral also lists the same sequence under 1 other name. The record is from RNAcentral. Lineage: Bacteria; Bacillati; Bacillota; Clostridia; Eubacteriales; Clostridiaceae.
UGGGGAAUAUUGCACAAUGGGGGAAACCCUGAUGCAGCAAUGCCGCGUGAGUGAUGACGGCCUUCGGGUUGUAAAGCUCUGUCUUCAGGGACGAUAAUGACGGUACCUGAGGAGGAAGCCACGGCUAACUACGUGCCAGCAGCCGCGGUAAUACGUAGGUGGCAAGCGUUGUCCGGAUUUACUGGGCGUAAAGGGAGCGUAGGCGGAUUUUUAAGUGAGAUGUGAAAUACCCGGGCUUAACUUGGGUGCUGCAUUUCAAACUGGAAGUCUAGAGUGCAGGAGAGGAGAAGGGAAUUCCUAGUGUAGCGGUGAAAUGCGUAGAGAUUAGGAAGAACACCAGUGGCGAAGGCGCUUCUCUGGACUGUAACUGACGCUGAGGCUCGAAAGCGUGGGGAGCAAACAGG